UCGUUGUAAAUUCGGUAUAUCGCGUUAUAUUUUAUUGAAUUUAGUGUUAAUUGUCAUGUUUGGUCAUUCGGUAAAUAUUUAUCGCGUAUGUAAUCUUCGGAAUUCAAUAUUUUGUGUGUUUAUUACAUUUUCGCGUGGAUUUCUGAUCGGUUGUCGUCGGACGCCGGCCGGCAGACUUUGUGUGUGAUAAUAAAUAAUGUCUUGGACUUGAGCGGACCAUUUUUGACUUCUGCACAACUCGUUGGCUCAAUGUGUUACCUGGUACGAAUACUAAUUUAAAUAAUUAUGGAGAACAAGACGAAAUUUAUGGUAAACUUUGGGUUCCGCCGGAACUCAUUGUCCGAAAUUGUGUGUAUCUUCAGUAUCUUCUCACAAUGGAUUUGCGGUGUUCCAUACACUGUUACAGUACAUGCCGUACCCUUGCAAUCCGAUGAGCGCUGCAUUGAAGAAUCACCCUCCGCCAAUUUUUGACGCGAUCAGACCACUAAAUGACUCACAAAGUCACCGUUAGGGGUGGAGCCACGGACUCCCCUCGCCAGGACGAACUACUGGGGUGCCAGCCAACACUACGGACUCCCCUCGCCAAGACGAACUACUGGUGUGCCAGCCAACACUACGGACUCCCCUCGCGAGGAUGAACGAUUGGGGUACCAACUAACAUUUUUCACGAACUCAUCUCAUUCCGUUUUGUGCCAGCAUCACACGAACACUACAUCGGUACAGUAUUCCAUUUUACCCAAAAUUACUGCUACAAGGUACGACGAACUACAUCGAUACAGUAUUUCAGUUCACCCAAAACUACUGCUCAAGGUAUGAGUAAACACAUUACAUUACGAACUCCACUUGAUACUAACAGCCAUCAUGCGACUCAUACCUAACCUCAAUCGACCAAGGCUACGCUCAUUAACGCUGUGUACAUUUCUCUUUCUUUUUGCGAGUGCUUAACCGUCCGGUCAGGUUUUCGUUCAGACCCUCGUUCUGAACCGCCCCCGGGUUAAGCCGAUAAUAUUCUUGGUACGUUCAGCCCAUCGUGCUGAACCGCACCUGGUUUUAAACCAACUACUUGUGAUCAAUGAGAUAAUUAACAGAUACCGCCACUAUUCCAUAUACAUAGCAUAUAACCAGUAAUCUACAAUGUUUAUUUCGCUUACAAGGUACAUAUAUUUUGAACGAGCAGACGAGAGGCCAUUUAUACGAAGGAGACGAGACCCGUCAACGCAUUCACUUCAGCAGCCUCAUUUACCUAUACACCGGGACCAGAUAACACAGAUACCGCAAUCUCUCCAUUACAUUUUUUGAUACCUACACACUUGCACUGUAAAUUAAAUUCAUAGCAACUUUCUAAAUUUUAUACAACAAUCUACAAUCAGAUUUUCAUUUUAAGGGGCACACCUAGUGUGAAAUUUUCAAAAAAUCGAAUUUUUUUUUGCCAAUUUUCGAUAGAUUAUAUCUUUAAAAAUAACAUACUAAAAUUUUAAAUCGAUAUCUGUAAUAGUUUUUGUGUAAGCUUAUCUUAUAGGGAAUUUUGCGUAUAUUAUGAAUUUGAAAUCCGUUUUUGUCGUUGCACCGACCAGUGCCGUUGGGCAUCGUACGAGGCUUGCGGUAGAAGUGACUCGUGUUCAGGGCACCGUACUAAGGUAGCAGUAGAAGUGACUCGAGUUCAGGGCACCCUACGAAAAUAGCGGUAGAACUGACUCGUGUUCAGGGCACAGUACGAAGGUAGCGGUAGAAGUGACUCGUGUUCAGGGCACCCUUCGAAGGUAGCGGUAGAAGUGACUCGUGUUCAGGGCACCCUUUGAAGGUAGCGGUAGAAGUGACUCAUGUUCAGGGCACCGUACGAAGGUAACAGUAGAAGUGGUGACUUUUUCACCCUUUUCUCGUGAACUGUUUGUAUUUUUUCGGGUUUGCGCGCGAUCUAGGUGGCGUAUUAACUUCAGCGCGGCGCCUAGAGAUGCGGAAUUAAAUUCUCCGUCGGGUAGUAUAUGUUUGUUGCUGGAAUUCGACCUGCAACCCCGAAAAUUUGCAUAAAAGGGUGACUUAAGGCUUUCUUUUUGCACUCAAAUUGUUUUGUAACACUCUGUUUAUUAGAUUCCCACAGCAAUGGGUGAAAACGAGCAAUAUUUGUAGUGUUUAGAUGUUUUCCUAUUUGAUUGUUGAAUUUUCUAAUUGUGACACCUUGUAUGAUCGUUUUUCUUCAGAUCCCUAAAAAUUUGCUUCGUCUGUUAUUAGAAUUUAACUUUUAGCUCUUUGAAUUUUCUUUUUGUAACGGCCUGUAUAUUUGUUUCCUAGAUUAACUGUGAAAAUCGAGCGAUUUUUGAGUGUUUAGAUGUUUUCCUGUCUGCACUUAAAAAUUUUCUUUUGUAACACCUUGAAUAUUUGUUUUCAUUUUCCAUCACCUAGAAAAUGUGCAAUUUGCUAAUUUCUUUAUCCCGCUAGAACAUUUUGACGUGUUACUUGCUUGUAUUUGCGCGACGAUGCAGGUCGGUAGUUCUGUGUCAAUAUGGCGGCAUGUAUUUUCUUGACUUGUGAAAUCUAAACUUGUAUUCUAUUGUUAAUAAAUAAAUAGUAAGAUA
Dalotia coriaria is the source of this 2573-nucleotide long non-coding RNA. RefSeq lists it as uncharacterized. The transcript is spliced from 3 exons. The record is from RefSeq and is a predicted model, not a curated record. NCBI's taxonomy places the organism in Eukaryota, Metazoa, Arthropoda, Insecta, Coleoptera, Staphylinidae.